Molecule: long non-coding RNA, 395 nt
Organism: Zea mays
Lineage: Eukaryota; Viridiplantae; Streptophyta; Magnoliopsida; Poales; Poaceae
Exons: 4
Source: RefSeq, a predicted model, not a curated record
GAUAUCAUGGCAAUAGAAGACGAUACGACACUAGAGAGAACAUGGGUGCGAAGUUUCAAUCCUUUUAAGAUAGAAAUAUCUGUCAAAGACCUGCAAAACAUAUUAACGACAACUCAAGAUAUGAUUCUAAGAUGUUUUGAUAUGGCUGUUCGGCUGCUUGCCAAUAAAGAGUCACGUAGACCGAAAGAAGAAAUCAUAAAUAAUAGAAAGCAUUAUAUGGACAUGCGUUUUUGGAGAAUGGUUGGUUUUGGUAAACUUCCAAAAUACCAUCAGGAUCCUACAACAGAAGAGUUAGCCAAAACACUCGAUUGUUGGCCAUCAAUGAAUUAUUAUAUCACGGGUUGUAGAUAUGUUCUCAUGCCAUGGAAAUUCAAUGGAUGUCACGCCCUUUUCGU